GACGAACGCUGGCGGCGUGCUUAACACAUGCAAGUCGAACGGAAAGACCCUGCUUUUGUGGGGUGCUCGAGUGGCGAACGGGUGAGUAACUCGUGAGUAACCUGCCCUUGACUUUGGGAUAACUUCAGGAAACUGGGGCUAAUACCGGAUAGGAGCUCCUGCUGCAUGGUGGGGGUUGGAAAGUUUCGGCGGUUGGGGAUGGACUCGCGGCUUAUCAGCUUGUUGGUGGGGUAGUGGCUUACCAAGGCUUUGACGGGUAGCCGGCCUGAGAGGGUGACCGGCCACAUUGGGACUGAGAUACGGCCCAGACUCCUACGGGAGGCAGCAGUGGGGAAUAUUGCACAAUGGGCGGAAGCCUGAUGCAGCAACGCCGCGUGCGGGAUGACGGCCUUCGGGUUGUAAACCGCUUUCGCCUGUGACGAAGCGUGAGUGACGGUAAUGGGUAAAGAAGCACCGGCUAACUACGUG
This 468-nucleotide ribosomal RNA is filed under the name uncultured bacterium. RNAcentral's name for it is "partial 16S ribosomal RNA". It matches the Rfam family "Bacterial small subunit ribosomal RNA", at positions 28 to 507 of the family's 1533-position model. The record is from RNAcentral.